RNAcentral lists this long non-coding RNA (414 nucleotides) under Macaca nemestrina (pig-tailed macaque). Its description in RNAcentral is "lncRNA (ENSMNEG00000045662.1)". Lineage: Eukaryota; Metazoa; Chordata; Mammalia; Primates; Cercopithecidae. The record is from RNAcentral.
CCAAUAAUGCAAUCUCUUUCAUAUCCGCAGGCACAUGGAGUUAUUGCCAUGGUGUUAGGACAAGCUGAUUGUGUUAAAGCAUGUGACACGCCUAAUUUCAGAAACCAGAGGGGAAAUCGCCGCUCAUUAAAGUUCAAGCAACUUCCCGAGGAAAACAAGGAAGGAAUGUGCACAAAGGCUCUGCAGCAACCCGCGGUGCAAGUCCCAAUUAGACUCAAGACAGAAACAAACUCAGCAAUGAAUACAUAUGUAAAGAAUGAAUAGGAACUGAUCCUGGAUGCUUAGUGAAACCAGCUCUCUCUUCCCAUCAAAUGAGAAGCCUCUGUGUCUUCAAAUGAAAACCAAGGAAGCACACCCCAGAGUUGAAUACAACAAAAUAUCAGGCAAUGCCUUUGAAGAGCAAUUUUCUCUGCC